RNAcentral lists this unclassified non-coding RNA (329 nucleotides) under soil metagenome. RNAcentral describes it as "partial contains 5.8S ribosomal RNA, internal transcribed spacer 2, and large subunit ribosomal RNA". The stretch from base 1 to 120 matches the Rfam family "5.8S ribosomal RNA", at positions 35 to 154 of the family's 154-position model. The record is from RNAcentral.
GAUGAAGAACGCAGCGAAAUGCGAUAAGUAAUGUGAAUUGCAGAAUUCAGUGAAUCAUCGAAUCUUUGAACGCACAUUGCGCCCUCUGGUAUUCCGGGGGGCAUGCCUGUUCGAGCGUCAUUACAACCCUCAAGCUCAGCUUGGUGUUGGGCCCCGCCGCCCCGGCGGGCCCUAAAGUCAGUGGCGGUGCCGUCCGGCUCCGAGCGUAGUAAUUCUUCUCGCUCUGGAGGUCCGGUCGUGUGCUCGCCAGCAACCCCCAAUUUUUUUCAGGUUGACCUCGGAUCAGGUAGGGAUACCCGCUGAACUUAAGCAUAUCAAUAAGCGGAGGA